CAGUCGCCACGGGAAUACGUAGGUGGCAAGCGUUGUCCGGAAUUAUUGGGCGUAAAGGGCUCGCAGGCGGUUUCUUAAGUCUGAUGUGAGAGCCCCCGGCUCAACCGGGGAGGGUCAUUGGAAACUGGGAAACUUGAGUGCAGAAGAGGAGAGUGGAAUUCCACGUGUAGCGGUGAAAUGCGUAGAGAUGUGGAGGAACACCAGUGGCGAAGGCGACUCUCUGGUCUGUAACUGACGCUGAGGAGCGAAAGCGUGGGGAGCAAACAGGAUUAGAUACCCGAGUAGUCCCUGUCUCUUAUAC
Molecule: ribosomal RNA, 301 nt
Filed under: uncultured bacterium
Lineage: Bacteria
Description: partial 16S ribosomal RNA
Rfam family: Bacterial small subunit ribosomal RNA
Source: RNAcentral